RNAcentral lists this long non-coding RNA (1914 nucleotides) under Nasonia vitripennis (jewel wasp). RNAcentral describes it as "uncharacterized LOC103317556". The record is from RNAcentral. Lineage: Eukaryota; Metazoa; Arthropoda; Insecta; Hymenoptera; Pteromalidae.
UGUAUUUUUUCAUUUUCUAUAAAGUGUCGCGAAAAACAGGUUACGAAUAUUAUUAUGAAACAAAGGAAAGGCGAUUUCCGGUUUCCGCUUCCUGCUGCCAAAUUUGUUUGAUCACGUUUUUUGGCCGUUGGAAAGUUCUCCCAAACUUCGCGUUUUUAAAAUAAGUACAGGCAUAUUUUCGCGCGUUAUAUAACAAUAUCGUGCGUAUAAACACAACGCGCGUGAUGAAGCGAGCCAUGGAAAUCUCUCAUGGCGAUGCUUUUUCGUGCCGAAACGCACAAACAGUUCGCGAGUGAAAUCGCAAUUGCGGCUAAGUAGUAUGCAGCGCCCAUCCGACACGAAAAACGGAGGAAAACGAAGACAGAAUUAAUUGCGACUGACGAAAUAAAAUCGACGGGGUUUCAAGAGGAAGCGAAGCCGCGAUCUUCCGCCUACCGUCGAUAGCUAUUACAUACGCAUACAAAGGAAGACACCAUCGCGAAAGGAGAAAUAUCUUUUGGAAACGGCCACUUUCAAUCAUCGACGCGACUGGGAUCUCGUACCUCAACGGGUGGCGCGACGAUCCAGGACUCGGAAGCCCUCCUGGCCAUGAGGGCUGGACUGCAGAGCAACGCCUCCUCCUCCUCAUCCGGUUCCGAAGACCAGAACAUCUUCCCGGCACGUGUAUUACAACAAUCACUUAUCGCGUUAUCAGUGGUGGUGACCCAUCGGGUGGUGCCGGGUCACCACCUACGAGACUAGCGAUGUGAAACGGAGAACUUUUGUUGUUUAUGUGCAGUGGAGGCCAGGCCGCAGACUGAACGUCCCCGCGCUCUAGCGCCUUCUCUCUCUCUCUCUCUCUCUCUCUCUCUCUCUCUCUCUCUCUCUCUCUCUCUCUCUCUCUCGCGCGCGCGCGCCUGCGACGGAAAUAGAAGAGUAUUUUCCCCUCUCUAUCUCGCGGCCCCGGUGAAGAGUAUACCUGAUGAUCAUGAUGCUUGAUUCACCUGAUUAAUGGGCUGUGGGUACACAAUGGCAUUGAUACCGUUGGAGCGAGACGAAAACAAGACGCAAGACUGAAUGCUUCUCUCUGCGAUAAUUUUAAAGAAGACGAGUGCCGUGCAAAGUUUGAAAUUGAAGAAGAGAGCUUACGGCGGAAUUGAUAUGAGAAAAAGUGAACUGUCAAGAAUGUAAAAUCGGAGAAGACGAAGAUUAAGUUUGGAGACAGAAAGAAUCCUAACUCAAACGCCCACCGAAGAACCAAGAGACAUUUUCCACUUGACCAAAUCGAGCAGUGCAUCGUCGCGUGUCAACGAGCGCGGCAAUUAGUGCUUCCGUGCAAAUAAUCGGCGACUCAUCUACCGAACAACCUGGUCCCGGACCCCAGCGAGGCUUCGCGAGAAUUAUUUUGGGAGCUCCGAAAUAUCGCCGAUUGUAGAGCUACUGCUGCUGUCUCUGCUUCGUCUUACACUUGUGCGUGUAUCGUUGUCCUCGCGCAAAUAUUUGGCACGCGGAUUACCCCCGAACGAACGAACCGAUCGAAGGGCGGGGACGGCUGCUUCUCUUUUUUCGAGACACACGUAUCGUAUUGUUCGACAAUGUUAUUUUUGCGCGAGCUCCCCGUCUCUUUCUGUUGUGAGCUUUUUACUGCGUGUAGAAUUUGCCCGAUGCAACAUCUGAGUUUAAAGUUUGUUUUUAUUUGAGACGCCGGCGACUUACUUCCUUACGUCGAAUGGUUAUAAAUAAUUUUCUUAAAAAUGAGAAAAGAAUAGAAUAUUUUUAAAUCCACGAUAGAAUUCAAAUCUGAACCGUUUUUACGAUCGACGCUCCCCAUUAGAACCAAAUGCAUUUAUAAUUGAUCAUUCUUCUUGUGUGCAUAUAAAAAGGUUUCGAUAUAAAGCAUGAGACACAAUAUAGAUCUAUAAACUGUCUGGAUAA